Molecule: ribosomal RNA, 497 nt
Filed under: uncultured bacterium
Lineage: Bacteria
Description: partial 16S ribosomal RNA
Rfam family: Bacterial small subunit ribosomal RNA
Source: RNAcentral
GAUGAACGCUGGCGGCGUGCCUAAUACAUGCAAGUCGAGCGAACGGACGAGAAGCUUGCUUCUCUGAUGUUAGCGGCGGACGGGUGAGUAACACGUGGAUAACCUACCUAUAAGACUGGGAUAACUUCGGGAAACCGGAGCUAAUACCGGAUGAUAUUUUGAACCGCAUGGUUCAAAAGUGAAAGACGGUCUUGCCGUCACUUAUAGAUGGAUCCGCGCUGCAUUAGCUAGUUGGUAAGGUAACGGCUUACCAAGGCAACGAUGCAUAGCCGACCUGAGAGGGUGAUCGGCCACACUGGAACUGAGACACGGCCCAGACUCCUACGGGAGGCAGCAGUAGGGAAUCUUCCGCAAUGGGCGAAAGCCUGACGGAGCAACGCCGCGUGAGUGAUGAAGGUCUUCGGAUCGUAAAACUCUGUUAUUAGGGAAGAACAUAUGUGUAAGUAACUGUGCACAUCUUGACGGUACCUAAUCAGAAAGCCACGGCUAACUACGUG